UUUAAAUGACAUACUUUUUCGUCAUACAAAAAUUCAUGUUCAUAAAGCUACCAGUAGCACAAUCAUUUAACAUUUGUACCACUUUUAAGUUCUAGAACCAAUGCAUAAAACAAGAACUUUUGUGCCAUCGAGAGAUAUCAAACAUGUCACGAACUUUAAGGUCAACUUUAAUUUCAAGAAUAUAUCCUUCAAGUCUUUUUCAUCCGUUUCUUUAAGUGAGUAUACAAAUAUCAAUAUAAUUUCAUAUUGUUUACCGGGCAUAUGAAUAUGACAGAUUUGAUCAUUUAAUGGAGUAAAUUUCUUU
Daktulosphaira vitifoliae (grape phylloxera) is the source of this 304-nucleotide long non-coding RNA. RefSeq lists it as uncharacterized. The record is from RefSeq and is a predicted model, not a curated record. The transcript has 3 exons. Lineage: Eukaryota; Metazoa; Arthropoda; Insecta; Hemiptera; Phylloxeridae.